UCUGAUUACCAGGUAAACCAAU
RNAcentral lists this non-coding RNA (22 nucleotides) under Arabidopsis thaliana (thale cress). Lineage: Eukaryota; Viridiplantae; Streptophyta; Magnoliopsida; Brassicales; Brassicaceae. The record is from RNAcentral.